GACGAACGCUGGCGGCGUGCUUAACACAUGCAAGUCGAACGGAAAGGCCCUGCUUUUGUGGGGUGCUCGAGUGGCGAACGGGUGAGUAACACGUGUGUAACCUGUCCUUGUCUUUGGGAUAACUUCAGGAAACUGGGGCUAAUACCGGAUAGGAGCUCCUGCUGCAUGGUGGGGGUUGGUAAGUUUCGGCGGUUGGGGAUGGACUGGCGGCUUAUCCGCUUGUUGGUGGGGUAGUGGCUUACCAAGGCUUUGACGGGUAGCCGGCCUGCGAGGUUGACCGGCGACAUGGGGACUGAGAGACGGCGCAGACGCCAACGGGAGGCAGCAGUGGGGAAUAUGGCACAAUGGGCCGAAGCCUGAUGCAGCAGCGCCGCGUGCGGAAUGACGGGCUUCGGGUUGAAAACCGCUGUCGCCGGUGACGAAGCGUUAGUGACGGUAAUGGAUAAAGAAGCACCGGCUAACUACGUG
RNAcentral lists this ribosomal RNA (468 nucleotides) under uncultured bacterium. Its description in RNAcentral is "partial 16S ribosomal RNA". It matches the Rfam family "Bacterial small subunit ribosomal RNA", at positions 28 to 507 of the family's 1533-position model. The record is from RNAcentral.